RNAcentral lists this ribosomal RNA (520 nucleotides) under uncultured Pseudomonadota bacterium. RNAcentral's name for it is "bacterial SSU rRNA". It matches the Rfam family "Bacterial small subunit ribosomal RNA", at positions 355 to 866 of the family's 1533-position model. The record is from RNAcentral. Lineage: Bacteria; Pseudomonadati; Pseudomonadota.
UCGGGAAUUUUGGGCAAUGGGCGAAAGCCUGACCCAGCAACGCCGCGUGAGGGAUGAAGGCCUUCGGGUCGUAAACCUCUGUCGGGAGGGACGAAAGGUCGGCGGUCGAAUAGGCCGAAGGCUUGACGGUACCUCUAGAGGAAGCGCCGGCUAACUCCGUGCCAGCAGUCGCGGUAAUACGGAGGGCGCAAGCGUUGUUCGGAAUUACUGGGCGUAAAGCGCGUGUAGGCGGCCAGGUAAGUCGGAUGUGAAAGCCCGGGGCCCAACCCCGGAACUGCACCCGAUACUGCCUGGCUGGAGUCCCGGAGAGGAUGGCGGAAUUUCCGGUGUAGAGGUGAAAUUCGUAGAUAUCGGAAGGAACACCAGUGGCGAAGGCGGCCAUCUGGACGGUGACUGACGCUGAGACGCGAAAGCGUGGGGAGCAAACAGGAUUAGAUACCCUGGUAGUCCACGCCGUAAACGUUGGGUGCUAGACGUCGGGGGUAUUGACCCUCCGGUGUCGAAGCUAACGCAUUAAGCA